Molecule: long non-coding RNA, 881 nt
Filed under: Mus pahari (shrew mouse)
Lineage: Eukaryota; Metazoa; Chordata; Mammalia; Rodentia; Muridae
Description: lncRNA (MGP_PahariEiJ_G0004317.1)
Source: RNAcentral
AUUCCAGGCUCUGUGAACUAAGUGACAGAAGCUGAUUAACACAGUACCUGGUCAAGGGAACUUCAAGGAAGAAAGCCAGCCUUAGACUGACACCAGAGAACCAAACUCCAGGGUCUAAGCUCAAGAGGUUAGAAUCCUGAGAACUGUUUGGAAUAAGGAAUCCAACUAUUGUCCUCCAGCUUCACCUUGCCAAGACAGUCCUUUCGAGGGACAGCUGAGCAUCCCCAUUUAUGCCGUGUACAUGCAGUACCAACAGAGGCCAGAGGAGGGUAUCGGAUCUCCUGGAACUGGAGUCACAGAUUCCUUCUUGCGUGGAUGAGACAGUCCCAUCGAACACCUUACAAAGACAAAUGUUCCCGACAGCACUGGUUGAGUUUAAAACUCAACAGAUCUAUGUUCUUAUCCUUAGACAAGAGAGGGGCCAUAACAAGACAGGAUAGGUGAACAGAUGUGAGAGACGAUGGUACAGUGACUCGGGUAACCUCAGAAAAGGGACAGCUCUUCUACAGCUCUGUGGGGACAGGGACAAAAGGAAACAAUUUUAUUUCAGUCCACCCAGAGGGUCUGCAUUUCUGGGAUCCAGAAGUAGGGAUGGAGGAAGUUUGAAAAGUUUGAGGAAUCCGCUCCUGGGGCUCCCCAGGUACGAGGACAAGCUUUUCCUGUACUCAGUGUUCAUCUCUUGGGUGUGCCCACAUUGGUACACAUCAAUUGCUUUAGUCUGCUGCUGCUGUUUCCAAAUUCAAUAAAGAAAGAUAUGGCUGGCUCAGCAGAGAGCUGUCAUCCAUCCCUCUGUGUGUUGAACCUUCAAGGCAGAACCCAGUUUCUGUGUCACAUCGCAGGCUCAACCAUUUGGGCUGGAGGUGAAGGGCAGACCAAAGAUG